This is a long non-coding RNA of Haliotis rubra (blacklip abalone), 568 nucleotides long. RefSeq lists it as uncharacterized. The transcript has 2 exons. The record is from RefSeq and is a predicted model, not a curated record. Lineage: Eukaryota; Metazoa; Mollusca; Gastropoda; Lepetellida; Haliotidae.
CAGUAGAAACACUUUAGCACAGCACACCACCCAGGCAACAAGGCAACAAGGUCUACUAAACAGCAUCAAACAGGUCACAUAUGUAUCAGCACAACACGGUCUAAUCAAUAAGGCUCUAUUCCACAAAUGGGUAAGAUGUAUUUGUAUAUGUCAAUGUAUAUCCUUCUUUUCUUUAUGUACACCUUUCGCGAACCUUUAAGGGUUACCAAAUAUUUAUCUGGCUGUAUGUCAUGUUAAUUGUGAACUUUAUUGUCUGUCAGAUAUGUGUACAUAUUUUUGUAAUUUAACAUUAUUUGGGCAAAUGUGUUAUUUGGCAAUGAAUUAUCUCCCUUGGUGUCACAACCAACGUUGUGCAUAUAGUUUCAUGCUAUUAAUAUUUCCUUUAACAGUUUAUAAUGUGGUAUAAUUCACAUGUGUAAAUGUUAGACUACAGAAUUAAUUGUGGUAAGCUAAUUGUGAUACCUAUGCAAAACAUUAUGCAAUGUGUACAUGUUUCUAAGAAUUUUAUGUGUGUUUCAGGGCUUGAAGUAUGAUAUAUAGUAUCUGAAUAAACCGCACCUCACCCCUA